This 253-nucleotide ribosomal RNA is filed under the name uncultured bacterium. RNAcentral's name for it is "partial 16S ribosomal RNA". It matches the Rfam family "Bacterial small subunit ribosomal RNA", at positions 524 to 776 of the family's 1533-position model. The record is from RNAcentral.
GACGAACCGAGCGAACGUUGUUCGGAAUCACUGGGCUUAAAGGGCGCGUAGGCGGGUGCUCAAGUCCGGGGUGAAAUCCCACAGCUCAACUGUGGAAUUGCCUCGGAUACUGGGCGUCUCGAGGGUGGCAGGGGUAUGCGGAACUAUCGGUGGAGCGGUGAAAUGCGUUGAUAUCGAUAGGAACUCCGGUGGCGAAGGCGGCAUACUGGUCCACUUCUGACGCUGAGGCGCGAAAGCCAGGGGAGCGAACGGG